This 238-nucleotide ribosomal RNA is filed under the name uncultured bacterium. RNAcentral describes it as "partial 16S ribosomal RNA". It matches the Rfam family "Bacterial small subunit ribosomal RNA", at positions 118 to 353 of the family's 1533-position model. The record is from RNAcentral.
UGGGUAACCUGCCUUAUAUGGGGGAUAGCCUUUCGAAAGGAAGAUUAAUACCGCAUAAGAUUGUAGUAUCGCAUGAUAUAGCAAUUAAAGGAGCAAUUCGCUAUAGGAUGGACCCGCGUCGCAUUAGCUAGUUGGUGAGGUAAUGGCUCACCAAGGCGACGAUGCGUAGCCGACCUGAGAGGGUGAUCGGCCACAUUGGGACUGAGACACGGCCCAGACUCCUACGGGAGGCAGCAUG